UCUGAUUCUGAGUCAGAGAAGGAAGAAACAGAUGAAAAACGUACUGCAGAGUCAAAAAGCAUAAUGGAUCCAUCAACACAUCAACCAAUAUUAGAAGGCUUUUCUGAAAUUAGUUCUGCUCAUAAUGAAUUGACCACCUCCAAUGUUGGAUCCAUCAAUUUGCCUGAAGUUCCUCUUGAAGAAAGGAAUAUGUUGAAUGGAAAUGAUAGUGAGCAUAUAGAUGAUAUUUCUGGAAUACAUGUUUCUUCUGUCAAUCCACAACUUGAGGAUUUCAUUGAUAGGGCUCUUGAACUUGGAUCUAAUACUGCAUCUGGUAAGAAGUAUGCUCUUGAAACUUCUCAAGUUGAUUUGGAAGAACACAAUCAUGAAGACAGAAAGGCUAAAGUCAGAGAGAAACCUUAUACUAGCUACCAAAGUCAGAGAAAAAAAUGAACACAAAUUUUGCGCCUGUAACAAAAGAAAACACUUCAUUCCAUUUGUUUAGCAGUUUAGAUGUACACUUGUAGGUUCUGGCUUGCUUCAUAUGCUAGUGUAUUUGAUAAGUAGGACCAACAGGCAUAGGCGCAAAAACUGGGGUGUGAGAGUUUGGCAGUGCAAUACUUUUGUUUCAGUGCCACUAAACAAGACAAGAACAACCAAUCCUUCACUAAAUGAAAGAUGAAGUGCAUGAAAUCAUGUAGCCUGGUCUAUUUCUCAAUACUAGCUACCAAAGCAUUUUUUUUUUACAUCAGAUCUACUUCCUUUCACCUCAAUUAUAACACCCAAAAUCGAAUACCACAAUAAAAAAGUUGACCCCUCAGUUUGGAGCAUUUGAAGAACAAGUAUUAAGUCAAACCAUCCAAUUUUCAUACUUUUGGGCCUAUAGCGUCCCAAGAUUUUUCUUCACUAUCAAAAACAACUACAAAGAAUUCCUUAAAGCACUUCGAAUUGAAAUUACCAAGGUUUCAAAAUUAAAAAACAUCCUGCCCAAAAAAGGCAUCCACCUGGAACCUUUUAGAACAAAAUGAAAUUAUUAGAAUCAUUCCAUUUUCCUAGUUUUUAUACUACUGCAGCAAUGAAACAAACAUCUCAGGUGACAAAGAAGCCCUCUAACUACAAACACUAUGUUUUACUUACCAAACCAAAACAAUUGAAGUAUGCAAAUUCUACCAAAGAAAAAGAAAAAGUUAUAGCAUGAUAAAAUCAUUGUAUUUGUCAAAUAAUUCAAACUGAAAAGUAAUAGCAACUUCAAGAUCCAACAACAAAGCACAACAUAAAUUUGAAAUUGUUUGUUAUUAAUCAAAAACUCUUAAAAAUUAAAUACCCUUUUGGGUUGAUUUACCAUUGGCAGUCAAAGAAUUAUUCCAUUAAUACUUCUCUCAUGAGAAGCAACAACCCCUAAAGUUAGCUGCAAAGCAACUCAAUCAACCAUUAUGUUCAAUCAAUUAUUGAAAAUUUUAACUUAAAAGAAACUAAGCUUAGAACAGAAAAGGGAUGGGAUAUUAGUGACCAAAUAGUCACAUUAUAAUUGAACACAUUUAUAAUAUGUCAUACAUACCAGUAGAUGAAUACAAACAAAACCAAAUACUCAUGUUAUAAUUAAACACAUUAAUAAUGUUUCAUACAUACCAGUAGGUGAAUAUAAACCAAAAGUCAUACAUAUAAAAACGCCAAGACAGUAAUACCAACAUGGAAAACAACACCACAUGAAACAAUAACAACAAGAGCAACCGCUCCUUGGACUGUGGAUAGACUCCUACAACUCAAAAUUCCUAGUCGAAUCUGAAGGAUGUUCACUAUUGAGAGAAUUAGAAAAAUACAUCCCAAGAUUGAGCUAAAGAUGGCACAAAGCAUCACCUUUCGAAUAGACUUUCUAUUGAAGUGGCUUCUAAACUCUUUAUUUGAUUCAGCAGCAUUGACAAGUUUGAUCAUUAUCUUCAAGCCAUGAGCCACCAAUGAUGAUGUGAGAAAAAAUGCAAAGGAAAUGACCUCAAAGAACAUCAGGGUCCUGAUCGUGCUGAUAUUGGCAUCGCAGCCAAGACGACCAUCAAUGCUAUGUAGUCCUAUGGUGGUGAGGGAGAAUCCCAGAAAUGAGGAGACAACGUAUAAGGAGUUGAGACUCACAACGGUAUCAAGGGCAGCGAAUUGAACGUCAUCUCUUAUCUCCUCUCUUGAUUUUACUUGAAUAACCCUGAAAAUAAAAGUAAUAGGUUAAUUUAUAUUGAUUUAUAAAAGGAAGUAAAAAAAUGUUGAAAUUAAGAUAGAUACUGUUGGGCCUUCAUUUCUGAGACAGUCUUGUAGCAGGUGCUGUAAAUAAAAAACUGGUGAGAAUUAGUUAAGAAAAAGAGUGGAUAAAAGGCAAGAAAAAAUAUUUGCUAUUAUCAACUAUGUAAAACAAUAAAUUUUCAAUUAAAAAAAAUGAAAAAAUGAACAUAAAUUAUCAACGAGCAUCAUAGUUCAAGCCAGAUAAUCCCCGGACUGUAAAGUAAAUAGUGAUGAUCGAAAUUAAUAAUUAAUAAUUAUUUACAUCGAGGAAAAUUGUUCGCCGAAAUAUCGGAUAUCGGUCGGGCCCGAUAUUCGAACCCGAUUAUCGAUUUCCAGGAAUAUCGUUAAAAAAUCGGCAAAAUGGCCUAUAUUUCGACCGAUAAAUAGGCGAUAAAUCGCGAGUGGAGCUGACGGGCGGAGAACCCGGAAGAGAAUUUAAAAAAAUCGCCGAUAUUUCGGUAUUUUUACCGAUUUUUCGGGAAAUUUCCCGAUAUCUUACCAGUCCAGCCCGCACAGGAUACAAAAUCUGUCCAAUUUUUUUUUUAAAAAAAACAUAAAAUGCUAUUUGGGGUAAUCUGAUCAUGAUUUGCGGGCAAAGGUUGUGUUUUUCAGCCUGGCUCAAAAAUCGUGGAUUUAGGGUUCGUGAAAUUUAAAUCCAAUGGCACAACAGCAAAGAGACCCCUAAAACAGAUCCAGAAAACACAGGGAGCAAAAGAAAAGCAAUUUUUCUUGGUUUUCUUUGGGGGUUUUGCAUGGAUUUUCUCGGAAAUCAAACGACGAUGAAUUUUCCCGGAAAUCGAAUGGGGGUUGGAUUUUCUUGGGAAUCAAACGGGGGUUGCAAAAAAAAUAAUAAUAACAUGAUUAGUACCUGCGAGGAUUGAGAGUGGCAGAGGAAAAUAGGGCUUUUUUAGGGAUGCUCUCGCCUGGAGGACAACUUCAGGAAAGGCCUUCUUGAUGCGCGAGUGAGAGAAGUGUGUGCCUUUUGAUUUUUAUGUAGAGAUAAAAAGAAAAUAAACAAAUCAUGAGGACAAUUUUCCUCUCUGUAUAAAUAAUUAUUGAUUAUCGACCUUUAUUUUGAUUAUUAAAUAAAUUAAUAUUAAUAAAAAGGUUGUUACUAGUAUUUUAAAUAAAAUUUAAAAAAUUAAAUUUUAAAUAAAAUAUUUUAUAUAAAUUAAUUUAAUUUUUCAUUUAAAAAAUAUUUUAAUAAAAAUAUUUUUACCUAAAUGACAACUUCUUCUUAAAAAAUUAAUAAUAUUUCUUUCAAAUAUAUUAUAUAUAAUUCUAAAUUUUUAUUUAAUUUUACCACCAAAUCUUAUUAUUAUUUAAAUAUUAUUAAAUUUGGGAUUUGAAUGCAUUAAAUAUUCCAAUAAACAAGAUUUGAAAUUUAUGAUAUGAAAGAAGCAUAAAUCAUCAUAGUAAUUAUGAAAUUUGAAAUUAAUGAAAAUAUUCUAACAAACAAGAUUUAAAAUUUGUGGUAUGAAAGAAACAUUUUUUUUCCUUGAAGAUUUAAAAUUAAUGAAAAUAUUUCAUUAAUAUAUAUAUAUAUAUAUAUAUAUAUUCAUUGUACUUGUUAAUGGAAAAUAUUCUAACAAAAAGAAUAAGAAAUUUGUGAUAUGAAAGAAUAAUUUUUUUUUCUUGAAAUAAUAAAAUAUUUUACUAAAACAAUAUUUGAAAUUUGUGGUUGAGAAUAAAUGUUUUUUUUCCCUGAAAUUUGUAAUUAAUGGAAAUGUACGCAUAAAACACUCCAUAAGUGAAAAUAUUAGCAAAGGUUAGGUUAGAAAAAAUAAAUAAUUACUAUAAAAUUAUUGAUUCCUUAAAGUGAAAAUAAUCGCAUACUUUAGAAAACAUAAACAAUUACCAUAAAAUUAUUGCAAUGGUGAUUGUCGGGUAUGACCACUGCGCCACUCACCAACUUAUAUUAAAAAAUAGAUAAAUAUUUAAAUGCAUUAAAUAUAAUCAUUUUUAAAAUUAUAAAUAAUAAGAACCCCAUUAAUAUUUAGAUAUAAUUUAGGUUGAUUUUCCCUUUAAAAAAAUUAGAGCUAAAUAUAGAUACACUUAAAAUGUUAAUGGAAAAUAUUUAUUGUACUUAUUAAUGGAACAGGCCCAACUGCCCCCAUUUUCUCCCAUUUUAGUUGUAACCCUCGUCACACAUGGUUCAAAGUCGCGGUAUCGGUCACUAAUUUGGAGGGCCCCGAGGCGUAUCGGUUUGGUAUCGGGCGAUACGUAAAAUAAGUUAAUUAGAAAAUUCAAAAAAUUAUAAAAAUAUUAUAAAAAUAUUAUGUAAAUUAUAAGAAAAAUAUAUACAAUUAAAUAAGCUCAAAAAAUUAAUAAAAUAAAAUUGUCUCACAUUUAACAUUAUUUAAAUAGUUAUAAAAGUACCUGCUCAGAGUUAUUUAUGAUAAUGCUAAUAAAAGAAAAUUAUUUUAUUUCAAAUAUAAUAAUAUUUUUACUAACAAACAUACAAUACAAUAAUCAAUUCCAUGUUGAAUGACGAGGGAGUUCAAAAUCAUUAUCAUUAGUCCUACGACGAGUAUAUGAUUACUCCUCAAAAAGUGUUAUUUGAUAGCUUGUAAUUAACUCUUUUAAACACUUUUGAGUAGUAGUUAUUACCUUUUAACCCAAUUAACAUAUUAAGGAUCCUUGCAAUCAAUUUUAAUCAAAUUGUGUUAAGUUUUGGUGUUUUGAUAGCUUUUUGAUCAUCAAAGCAAUCAGAGAUUGAGGAGAGUCCUUAGGAAUCCAUGGCAAAGAUGUCCGGACAGGGCGUCCGGACACACCAUUGGAGAGCGAUGGAAAGUGGGUUGUAGCAAGGCUUGCUCACUAUAGCCAAUGUUUUCCAUCCGGACAACAUAUCCGGAUAGGAUAUGCUAUUGUUCGGAUGGAGUUGCUCCGGAUAACAUGGCGGUGCGUGUCCUCUUGGGAAAUCCGGAUGGAGUUGAUUCGGAUAUAGCCUUGCGCACUCCGUGUCAUCUGGGAGAGGGGUCCCUACACCUUGCACACGCAAACGGUCCCCCUUGCGCAACAUAGCUCAGUCCACCCGGGGAGGAAUUCCGUGCGCCGACAUUUUACAUCCGGAUAUCUCAUAACCGGAUGGGAGAGGAAGACGCUUCAACUUCUCCGGAUAGAUAUAUCCGGAUCUUCUGAUAGCGCUCAUCCGGAGAGCAUCUGCACCCGACAUUUCAAAUUACCCAGAUUUUGCACAGUGACGCGGUGUUCUCCUGAAGCUUCAUGAUAUUUUCGACCGACAUUUUAAGAUAUUUUGGGAUAUUUUGCUUUAGAUAUUUGAUGUCUAAAUCCCCAAACUCUCCUUGUAAUCCACCUAUCAUAGGAUUCCUUAGUCUUUAAGCAAGUACAAAAGGUGAAUAACCUCUUAUAUAUAGUGUGUAAUCUUCUUUACAAAGAUAUCUAUUAUGUAAUCAAAGGAAGAAAGAAAUAUAUUUCACAGAGCACUUGCUCUGUUUUUCCUUCAUAUAAUUGUUUUCUCGUUAGUUUUCUUACUAGCCAAACAAGCUUUGAGGAAGUUUCCUCAGAGAAUGAGUGGCUAGACUUUUAGUUCCUUGGAGUUAAGGUUGCCGGGAAAGGUUCCAAGUGCAUGAAUUAGUAGCUUUGUGGUUUCAGUCUUUAAUGAAGAGAAAGUGUGAUCCUUUAAUGAUUUCUAUGUUUUUAAUUAACUUAAAACACCUUCAAGUCACUUGAGCCAACACUUGGUAAGGCACGUGAUCUCCGUCCAUGGAGAUGCACUUGUUUAUCUCUUGCAAGCUUUUGGGAAGUGACUUAGAGGUAGGAUUUUCUAGAAUUACCAACACUUGGUAAGCUUUUGGACUCUAAGGAGACAUCCAUUAGUUAUCUCUUGCGAGCUUGAGAAGGGAAGUCCAAAGUUAAAGAUCACCUUGAAUGGCAAAUGUUAGGUGAAAGGCACGAGUCAUUGCAAGUUGCAUCAGUGAGAGGGAUUUAGUGUUUGAACUCAUAAAAGGGAAGCAUUUGUACAACACCGAUUAAAGAAUUGACUAUAUGUUAAUUCUCUAAUGCGAGGAAAUGAACCAAAUGACCAGAGCUUUGUUUUUGCAUAAGGAACCUCCCCUGUGAAUCUAAACCUCCAAGGAAUGUUUUUCUUCAUAAGUAAUUUCCAUUACUUUCUUUUUAGUUAACUUUAAACAAAACCUCAUUUAAACAAAGUUUGUGUUUUAUUUCUUAAGCUAACCUUGAAAUGAAAAAGCACCAAUUUACUUUGAAUUGGUAUCAGUUGAGAGUUGAAAACCCUUCCCAGUGAACGAUCCUAGAGCCAUUAUGCUAUAUUAGCUAAGCUAUCCUAAUGCAUGGUGAUAUAGAUUAUAAAUUUUGUUGAUUACUCUCUCAAUCAAAGAGCACCAGCUGGACAUGAAUCAGCUAAGACACCAAUUGGGAAUGAAUCAGUAUACAAAUUAGGGUGGCAAUUCCCGUAAUGAGGAUAUGGUUGAAAGAGUUGUUCAUAACUCGAAUAUGUUGAUUGAGAUGAUUGACUUGAUGAUCCAUAAUCAGGAAAAUAUGGUUUUGAAGGUUGUUCGGGAUCAACACUAUAUUGAUAGUAUCCAAAACCUCGACAAGCAAUGCUACUGCUAUCAGAAGAUUGAUCAUAUCCAUAUGAAUCACUAGCUUGUGUUCUAGUAUUUGAAUAUCCCUCUGGAUGCAUAAUUGGAAAUCGAUCAAAAUCAUUUCUACUAAAAGUACUAGAAGAGCUAUUACAGUCUCUAAAGGUGUGAUAUGAUCUACCAUCUACCCCUCUGAAAUACGGUCUUAAUCUCAUACCCAAAUUUUGCAAGUGCCCAUCGAUACAGUGAUAAUUUGAUUUCUGAUAAUCAUGCCCACUAGAAUAAUCAUCAUCACUAGGAAAUGUAGUUAGUCUUUCCAAAUACUUUCGUUGUUCCCAUAUCCCUAGUCGAUAUCCAUGAUCUGUAUCUUGCGUGGUAUAGUAAUUUUCACCUCCUUGUGCCCAUGACAUGCUAGGAUCUACUUGACUAACAUAACUGCCCCCAAUGCUACCAUCUCCUCUAGUACCCUCACCAAUGCCACCAACUCCUCUACUACCCCCACUAGUGCCACCACCCCGCCUAUUGCCCUCAUUGUCACCAUUAUCACUACUAGAAUUUAAAGAAAUUUUUCUAGAAGCCUUACCUUUACGGCGGGAAUCAACAUUUCUUUCUUGUGUAGCAUUACUUGUACGCGUACUAACUCUACAAUUUGUGGCACCAUUUUCUUCAUGAACUGUUUCUCUACCUUCUUCAUUAGAAGGAAGACCUUUAUCCAACCAAUCCAAAUUAUCAGAUGAUAAAAUAGGUUCCUCUCCUUCUCGUAUCCACUCAUCUAAUAUAUCAUCAUCAUUAAAGAUAUUAUUAAGAUCAAUUGGAUUGUAUAAAUCUUCAUUGUUUCAUUCUUGCAUCAAAUUCUUAACUCGAAGUCACAUAUUGUAGUGCACAUAAACUAACUUAUGCAACUUUUUUAUUGCCAAACGGUUGCGCAACUUUGUGUGAAUCAAUGAUCAUGUGCUCCAAUUUCUUUCACAACCUGAUGAAGAAUAAGUUUGGCUUAAAAUUUUAAUAGCAAUCUUUUGUAGAUGUGGACCUUCGUCGCCAUAGUUGUUCCACCAUUCAACUAUAAUAAAGAAAAUGCAUACUUAUUAAUCACUAUGAUAUAUUUAACAAAAAAUGAUGAUAAUUUCUUAUUUGUAAUAGAUGUAAAUGUAUUAAGUACUUGGAAGAGAUUGAUUUAUUGCUUUCUUUGUAAGUGCACUUCCAAAUUCUCAUCCACUGUCAACAAAUAAUUUCACCUACAUCAUUAACAUUUUUUUUUGUUAAUGCACAUUACAUAUACAAAAUGUAUUAUAUAAAGGUCACAAACUAUUAUUAUACCUUGUUAAUAGCUUUUGCUUGUCUAUUCAAAUCUAGCUUUAAACUCUUGAUAACCUCCUUUAAUCCAACUUUAAUUUCCAGAUGGUUGGAGAAGUGCUUUGAAUAUUGAAACAUUGGAUUUUAAAAAUAUGCCGGCAUAAGUUAAAUAAUAAUCGGUUUAUAAUAAUUUGUACUUGAAAAAAAUAAUAAAAAAUAUAUAAAUAAUUUUUUUAUUACCUGCAGCAUGCAAAUGGUUGUGCAAUUGACCUUCCCACUUUCUAUCAAUGACUUCUCAAUACUUUUCCCAUUGCUUGACCGAUGCCUUGAUAGUCAAUUUAUCUCUAUCCAUUGCUUCAUAAAUGAUUGAUACUGUGGACUUUUUAUCUUGAUCAACCAAUUUCAAUACUUUGACGAGAGGUUCCAUAAUGGUUUGAACUUCCCCUAUCUUCUUCAAAAAUCGAUCAGUUAAGAUAAGGUUGGAUACCUUAUCUCUUAGACCUUUUCUGUUCCUAUCUUUAUUGAAUUCACGCCACUUAUUUGUUGUGCACAUUCUCUUCAAAUCAGCCUCAUAACAUAUAAGACUCUCAAAUGAAAUGAAUUAAGUGGCAAAACGGGUUAUUCCCGACCUUAACAUAUUUAUAUCCUUGGUAAACACUUUCAUUAAAUUCACUACUUUCAAGUUAUUAUAAAUAAAUCUUGUGAUCAUCUUAGCUUGAUCUAAUGUCUCUUUAAUCUGUUUCAUGCUUGCAAUAUCUUCAAGCAUGAAAUCAAUACAGUGGGCUGCACAAAGAGACCAAAACAAAUGUUUCCACUUCUCCAUCAACAACAUACUGACUACUUUAAAACUUGUCUCAUUAUCAGUGACUACCUGAACAACAUUUUCCUUCCCAACCUCCUUUACAACUUAUCCAUAAGGGAAAAGAUGUAGUCUACUGUCUUAGGUAUAUUGGUAGUGUCAACUGAAGAAUGAUAUAUUAUACUUCUAUCACAAUAAAUCAUGAAAUUGAUGAUAGACUUUCAAGUCCUAGAACUCUAACCAUCACACAUGAUUGUGCACCCAUAUAUAAGUCAUUUAGCCUUCAAUGUUAUUAUAUAUACCUUAAGCUCUUGCAGCUCAUCAUCUAAAUAUGUAUUUCCAAUUUGGUAUCCAGUGGGACCCUUGAUGCUUGGACUUGUUUCUGCUAUGGUAUCAAUCAUUGAUUGAUAGUAAAGCCCACUGUCAGUUGCAUUAAAGAGUAUUGCAUUAAAGAAAAAUAAUUUAGAAAUAACUUUACAUACUUUCUUCACACCUUCAUUAGAAAACAAGUUUUUUAUUGAUUUCUGCUUUGAUGGGAACAUGUAGGGGUCAAUUCCUUUUGGAGGUAUGCUAGCUCAUUCUCUUACACUGAAGCUACAUGUCAAUCUGCGUUUAAUCCUAGCAUUAGAAGGUUGUGAAGAACUACCACCCUUCUGAUGUUUUUGUCUACCUUCUUCAAAAAUUCGACGAAUUUCUUUCAUUGCUUGUUUCAUUUGUCUUCUUUCAAAAUCAGACAUAGCAACUUCCUCAAUUUCAUCAUCAGAAUCACCCUCAUCAUUUUCAUAGAAAUUUUCUUUAUUUAAGGAACUCAAAAGUCGUUCAUUUUCUUUUUUUUCUUUAUUUGUGUUUUUUCUUUUAAAGUAUCAGACAUAUGUUGUCUAACACUAUAUGACACUUCUACCGAUACACGUGGACAUCCUUCCACUUGUCCGGAUAUAUGUGCGAUGUGUUGCUUUAAUCUUGUUAUACCGCUAUGUAUGACUUUCCCACAAUAUUUACACUUUGUGGUUCUUCUACUACCACCAACAAGUUCUACAUGCUCCCAAUUAAUAUAAUGUUUGAAAGUCAUUUUGAAAUAUUAAUCUAACCAUGUAUAAAAGGAAAACAACUUACUUUUCAAAUUAAAUAUAUAUAAACACAUUUAUAUAAGAAUUAUAAUAUUCAAUUUUCCACUCACUUAUAUGUUUCAUAUUGUUACCAUAUAAAAAUAAAUUCUACUAAAAAAACAAUAAACACGAUCUCACCUAAGUACAUCAUUUUUUGUCUUCCACUUAUUUAUAUGUUUUUUAAUUAAAAUAAAUAAUAGUUAAAUAAAUGAAUAUUUUUUUAAAAAAAAUCUUUUAAAAAAGUUUGUUUUGAUAAUUAUUGAUUUCCUAUUGUAAUUUAAUUGUAGAAUAUUAUAAAAUAAAAAAUCUACAUGAUCUAAUGAAGUAAAAUUGAUUCAAAUAUAAAUGUAAUUAACCAUGUAAAUGCAUAUCCUUCAUUCCGUAUUAUUAAAUCAUUUAUGAUUAUUUGAAAAAAAAAUUAUUAAUUUUAUAAUGUAAUUUAAUUUUGCAAUACUAUAAGAUAAAAACAUAAAUUAAAAAUACAAUAUCUAUACCAUAUAAACUUUACCAUAUAAAUGUACUUUAUAUUUCUAUACCAUACAAAAAUAAUUUAGUGAACCAAUUUAUUGUUUUGAUAAUUAUUGAUUUCCUAUUAUAAUUUAAUUGUAUAAUAUUAUAAAAUAAAAAAUCUACAUGAUAUAAUGAAGUAAAAUUGAUUCAAAUAUAAAUGUAAUUUACCAUCUAAAUGCAUACCCUUCAUUCUAUAUUAUUAAAUCAUUUAUGAUUAUUUGAAAAAAAAUUAAAUAAUUAUUAAUUUUCUAAUGUAAUUUAAUAUUGCAAUAUUAUAAGAUAAAAAUAUAAAUUAAAAAUACAAUAUAUAUAUAUAUAUACCAUAUAAAUUUUACCAUAUAAAUGUACUUUAUAUUUCUAUACCAUACAAAAAUAAUUUAGUGAACCAAUUUAUUUUUUGAUAAUUAUUGAUUUCCUAUUGUAAUUUAAUUGUAGAAUAUUAUAAAAUAAAAAAUCUACACGAUAUAAUGAAGUAAAAUUGAUUCAAAUAUAAAUGUAAUUUUUCUAUAUCAUGUAAAUACAUACCCUUGAUUCCGUAUUAUUAAAUCAUUUAUGAUUAUUUGAAAAAAAAUUGUUUUAAAUAAUUAUUAAUUUCCUAAUGUAAUUUAAUUUUGUAAUAUUAUAAGAUAAAAACAUAAAUUAAAAAUACAAUAUUUGUACCAUAUAAAUGUAUUUUAUAUUUUUGUACCAUACAAAAAGAAUUUAGUGAACCAAUUUAAUAUUAUAAGAUAAAAAAAAUCACAUAAUUUAAUAAAUUAAAAAUAUAAUCUCUAUAUAAAAUAAAAACAUUACAUAUAAAUAUAUUUAAUAUCAUCAUAAUAUUAUCAUUAUGAAUUCUCCAAUUUUAUAUAAAUAUUAUUUUCCAAUUCUUCAUUUUCGUAAAUGGUUUUUAAAAAUCAUUAUUGCGAGUCUCAAAGAAUUAUUACAUUUUGUAUAGGAUUUAUCAUUUUAUGCUUUUAAAAACAAAAAAUAACAAGUAUAUCCAAACCAUACCUUACUUCAUUUGGAUACAUUUUCUGUUUUUUUUUUUUAAAUAAAAACUUAUAUGUAAAAAGUAAGAACUUUCUUACUAUAUACUAAUCUUAUGUUGUUAAAAAUUAUUUUCAAAAAUUUUAAAGUGAGUUAUUAAAAACUAUUGGAUUGUCAAUAAAAGUUACCACCAUUUUCUAUUUUACAAAAGAAAAAAAAACGAAAAGGAAAGAUAGAUUAUAGCAACAACAAAGUGUGCUAAACCAUAUACACAGGGGUAUAUAUAUACUCAUAUGGUUCAUUAAGCACAACACGAUAGCAAAAAGGGGAAAAAGAGAUAUAAAUGUGCAUUUUGUAAUAAAAUAAUGAUUUCACAGCCAAACUGAGGCAAAAGAAAGGAAACAAAAUAAAAAUCGAUAUUCUUCCCUUUAUUACCUCUAUUAGUUAUUACCUGUUGGUUUGAAACCCUUGUCUUCUAUCUUCUUCCCCAACACCACGAAGACCGAUCUGCAAUGACUAUCUUUUUCCCCAACACACCACGAAGACCAUGAUCUGCAACCUCUCAGACUAUUGGACCUUUCCACUACUAUCAUACAACCACGAUCUGCUACUUUCUCACCGACAGCGCACCAAAGACGAAGAUUCUACACUCUGGCAAUGGUGGAUUUAAGGUUAAGUGAGUUAUUCUUCAAUCGAGGCUCUUUUUAAAGGCUUUUGAAAGGGUCACAGCAUUUACAGUGAGACCUGUAACAAAAUUUACGGUGAGAGCUUCUCUCUCUAAAAAUGUAGAGAGAGAAAAUAGAUGUUGGGGCUUUCUGAGGAGAAAGAAUGCUACGAAGAUGAAUCUUUAUAGCAAAAUGAGGAAAAAGAAUACUAAUAUGAAAACAAAUCCGAUUAGGAUGGCGAACACCAUCCACUAUCCGAUUAGGAUGAAUCCUUAUAGCAAAAUGAGGAGGAAGAAAAUAGACAUUAUCUCCCAUUUUUUCACACUCUUGUGUGAUUAAUUAGCCUCCUUACACUCAUUGUCUAGCUUGCCCUAUUUAAAUAUAAUUAUAUUUAAAUUAAUCAAUCAUUAAAAUGGUGAAAGGAUUUAACUAACACCAACCAACCAAAAAUCACUUAAUUGGUUAAUUAAGAAUGCGUUUAGUAGUGAUGUUUGUAGCUAACAUUAUUAAAAAAGAAGCAAAACUUGUGAGAAUUAGUAAAGAAAAUAAAAUAUAAUUAAAAAACUUGUGAGACACCUAAAAUAUAAUUAUAAAUAAAAAAUAAUACUUAAAUAUAAAAUAAACCUUUGCUAUGUAAGACAUGCAUUAUUUCACUUAUAUUUUACUUUUUUUUUUUAUUUAAUUCACGUUUUUGUGGUUCUUUUACUCUCUUUUUUUCUUUAUUUAUCUUAAAUAUUGUCAUUUUGGCACUGAUCAAUCUACUAAAUAUUAAAAAAAAAUCAUUAAUGUUGAGGCCUCACGUCCCUGGUGAUCCACGUAGUUGCCAAAUGGAUGGACACACGAUCUCAACUAAUAUAGGUUCUUGAUUCAGUCGUUCCACCUGCAAAAGGCGUCCAAACGGGGUGUCCGGACGUACCCUCCGAAGGUUUUGUCAGUCAUGGUUAGAGAGAUGAAGAUAAAUCAGUUGACCUUUUACUAGGUAUAGCAAGCUUACCUUCCUUUUUGUGUGAAGGUUCGUAUAUAUAACAUCAGAAGCUUUGUUCCCCUCUUUAAUGGUGGGGAGAUAUUUUGUGUUGUCAUGAUGACACUAGGUGGUGGCAGAGCCAUCAUCACCCUACGGGCGGCUGACAGAGAUCGUGGUAUGUGAUCAUGUGAAGUGAUCGUGGGAAGUGACUUGUUGUCACUUCAUCUUGUCCUUUCACUCUGCAGGUGGCGGAACGUGGGCCAUGACAGGCUGUUGUGAUAACGUGCAAGACUUGCUUACUUUAGUUAAUGAUCUGGGCAAUGUAUCCGGGUGGCCUAUGUUUAGUCGUCCGGAUGCAUUGCUUAUGAGUGUCGUGUGCUUCUCCUUGAGGUAGUCCGGAUAGGAGAAGCGCGUCACGUGUACUCUUGGGGAAAUCCGGAUGGGGUUAACCCGGAUGAGAAUGUGUGCCACGUGUCAUCAAGAGAUGUGUGCCACGUGUUAUCAGAGGGAGGAGUCCCUACAAUUAAUAUAGCAAAUGAUUAAUAAUAUUUUUUUUCCAUACCUUACAUAAAAAAAUUUAUCUUUAUUUAACUAUUAUAAAUUAUUAUUUUUGAUUGAAAGUUAAUUUUUUUUUUAAAUAUUCUAAAUGGUUUUUUAAUUAAAAUAAGGAAUAUGACCUGAGGGUGUUUUAGGAAGAAAGAUAGUGGGGUUCACCGAUUGGGACCCACAUCGCGGGACCCCUCCAAUGAGAAGCGAACUCACGUUGACUCCAAAGGAUUAAUUUUAUAUAUAUAUAUAUAUAUAUAUAUAUAUAUAUAUGGAAAGUCAUAAAUUUAGUGGAGUAGUAGGUUUCAUCAGACCUGUAAAAGUAGAGCUCCUCUCUAAAAAUGUAGAAAGGCUUGGGAAGUACGGCAUUUACAGUGAGAGCUGAGAAAACGAGCUUAGGAUAUAUGUGAGUUAAGUCAUGCAGGUGGAAAUUGCUGUUGAUUAACAGGAUACGGGUACACAAUGUGGGCUCUAUAUGGAAUUUUGUUGAUUAACCAUCAAGUUCAUUGGUUAAGUGCAAUGAGCUUUAAUGAGCUUUAGGAUAUUUAAACAAAUUCAGAUUGUUGCAGUCGUGAUAUGUUUUAUUUUGAAUGGAAAUAUCCCACAAGAAACCACUUAAAGAGAAGGAAAAAGCAGCUCACUUGACAAAAUUAUUUUUGUUAUACUAGCAUCAUAGAACAUGCCAAAUUAUGUUACUGGGUNNNNNNNNNNNNNNNNNNNNNNNNNNNNNNNNNNNNNNNNNNNNNNNNNNNNNNNNNNNNNNNNNNNNNNNNNNNNNNNNNNNNNNNNNNNNNNNNNNNNNNNNNNNNNNNNNNNNNNNNNNNNNNNNNNNNNNNNNNNNNNNNNNNNNNNNNNNNNNNNNNNNNNNNNNNNNNNNNNNNNNNNNNNNNNNNNNNNNNNNNNNNNNNNNNNNNNNNNNNNNNNNNNNNNNNNNNNNNNNNNNNNNNNNNNNNNNNNNNNNNNNNNNNNNNNNNNNNNNNNNNNNNNNNNNNNNNNNNNNNNNNNNNNNNNNNNNNNNNNNNNNNNNNNNNNNNNNNNNNNNNNNNNNNNNNNNNNNNNNNNNNNNNNNNNNNNNNNNNNNNNNNNNNNNNNNNNNNNNNNNNNNNNNNNNNNNNNNNNNNNNNNNNNNNNNNNNNNNNNNNNNNNNNNNNNNNNNNNNNNNNNNNNNNNNNNNNNNNNNNNNNNNNNNNNNNNNNNNNNNNNNNNNNNNNNNNNNNNNNNNNNNNNNNNNNNNNNNNNNNNNNNNNNNNNNNNNNNNNNNNNNNNNNNNNNNNNNNNNNNNNNNNNNNNNNNNNNNNNNNNNNNNNNNNNNNNNNNNNNNNNNNNNNNNNNNNNNNNNNNNNNNNNNNNNNNNNNNNNNNNNNNNNNNNNNNNNNNNNNNNNNNNNNNNNNNNNNNNNNNNNNNNNNNNNNNNNNNNNNNNNNNNNNNNNNNNNNNNNNNNNNNNNNNNNNNNNNNNNNNNNNNNNNNNNNNNNNNNNNGAUUUUGUCUUUCUCCAUCAUUUUUUAAUCUCUUAAACAAGGCUUACAUAGUCACCCUUGUAACCUAUUCAAUUAGAAUCCAUCUUUAGAGGCAAUUUUGACUGCUAAAUGUGAGGGUCAUUCUCCAUAGGAAUCAUCAUCUCCUUUUCAUAAGGAGAAGUUAUAUAUAUUUCACAUGGACAAGGAUUUAGAUGCAAGGUACAUGGCAGCCAUAGCAAUAUCCCAUUUCUCCCCCAGUUUAAACAGAGGCUCAUGCUCUUUGGCAAUCCCAUUCACUCUUAUAUCAUAAUUUGUUCCCCACUCCAAUGCCAAGCUCUUGUUAUCCUGUUUUACCCUUCCUUAAGUCAUUAGCAGCUUUUUUAAGAAUGGUAUGCCCCCCAUUGCCAAAGAAAUUGGUAAUUCAAAUCAUUCCUUUCUUUUUCCACAAAGAUCAAGAUGGCUUUACAGUUCCUGUGAGCCCAGAAACCAAUUACAGAGGAACCUAAUUCUAAAAUGAUUUGGCAUAUGAAAUGUUUAGUUUUACAUGAGCAGUGAUUUUUUUAUACGAUAUCCACUCAAUCUGCUGAGAACCCAAUUUGUUACCAAGAAGCAAUGAGGUUCCAGAAUCUUAAAGAUGGAUCAAAGGCAUGAGGCUCAAACAGAGCAUCUCCUCCUAUCAUUUUCUUCUUAAACCCCAAUGCUGAUUUUGGAAUUUUUAACAUAAUGCCAUUAUCAAUAUCAGAUAGAUUAUUAGGCUUUCAAAGUAAUCUUCUGUCAUAAGCUGCCCCUUCCCUUUCCAUAUCCCAAAUUAUAUUCUUUUGUUUUGAUUAUAAAAAACUAAUAUAUCAAUAUUUUAUAACCCACAAGAUUAAAAUAGCUUUGGAAGAUAAUUUGUCCUAUUACAAAGCAAUGGCAGAACCCGACAGAGAAUUCCUUAUGGUGAUUGAAGAAAGCAAUUAUACAAACUUGAGCAAAUGAUUAAAUCACCCCAAGGUUGCUGGGUCUUUAUCUUUUAGAAUUUGUAUGGGCUUUAACUUAUCAUAUAAAAAGUAAAAAAAGAAAAAAGAAAAAAGAAAAGUCAUGUAGAGGUUGAAACAAUGACACAAACAAUGGACAUUAGAUCAAAUGGUUUAGAUGGCAAGAAACAUUGGCCUAUCAGAGUAUAACUUAUGUGACUGGGGGUUUCUAUUGAAAAUGAGAAAUCAUAAUUAGGGGCAUUGAAAUUGUUUGCUGGAUAUAUACUUGUAAAAAUUAUGGUAUUUCUUAUGUCCCUUUCAAUCAUUUGCUCAAGUUUGUACAAUCUUUACCAUGUAUCUAAUAAUACAUAUAAAUGCAAGGAUGCUGCAUACUCCACAAAUCUUCUCUACAUCUGAACCACCUCCAUGUUUUUGCCUUUGCCUGUGCCUCCUCUCUACAUUCUACACACACAACUCUACCUUGUUAGCUAUGACCCUAUAAAGCUUUGAAAUUUUGAGAGUGCAGAUCUUGUGUAAUUAUUACACAAUCAAAUGAUAUAAAUGCUCAGAAACUUGAAAAUGAUAUGAUGAAUUUAAUGUGCAGUAGCAAAAUCCAAAGUUUUCUUACUUUUGGGUACAGUCUACUAUGAAUACAUAGUAGACCCUUUUCUCACCUCUUUGUGUUUGUGCUAUCCUUUCCUACAGAAUCACAGCCCCCACCAUUUACUCUCUCUUUCCACCAUUUAUGAGCUGCUACUUUCCUCAAAAGCACCCCUUCACUUUCUCCCACUUUACAUAUAAUCCUUUUUAAUAUUUUUGUUAGAAAAAAUUAUUUUCCUUUUCUUUUUAGACAUACCAAACCAACUGAAGUUUAUUUUAUUUUAUUUUAUUGUCUUUAAUUGAAAAUUGAAAAUUAGUCAUUAAUGUUGGUUGGUUUUUUGUACAGUAAUGAGUCAAAAUAUUGAGAUUAGUAGGGCAAAUUGGACUGACCCCAUCCAAAGAAAGCACUUUAUUGAUCUUUGUCUUCAAGAGGCAAACAAAGGCUUUAGAUCAGGUGGAGGUUUAAAGUCUAGUGCUUGGCCUCGAAUUGCUGAAGAGUUGGAGAAGUUACUUGGAAAACGUUAUACUUCAAAACAACUUAAGAAUGGGUGGGAUUACAUGAAAAGACAAUAUCUCAUUUGGAGUAAAAUGAUGACUAUGACAGGACAUGGUUACAACUCUGUAACCAAAACUUUUGAUUGGCCAGCUGAAAAAUGGGAAGAAUAUCUACAGGUAGUUUUUUUUUUAUGGAUUUGAGUGAAUUUUAAAAAUAAUUGUCUUAUAUAUAUAUAUAUAUGUAUAUAUGACUAAUUUGUUGUUUAUCUUGUAAAAUAGAAAUAUCCAGAAGCUAAACAAUUCCGUUUUAAACCAUUAGCAAAUGUGGAAGAAUUAGAGGCAUUGUUUGGAGGAGUGUUAGCUACUAGGUCUAAAAAUUGGAGCUCUGGGGGAGUGAUAGCUUCUGGGGCUGAGGAAUCAUCAACACAUUCUACAUCUAUGCCUAGUGAAACUUCAGUUAGUUUAGAAGAAGAUGAGGAUUUGCCAAGAAAUACUAAUGAUGAAACAGAAGGUUCUAAGAAAAAACAGAAGAAAGGAAAGAAAGAGCAAACUCAAGAAGAAAUGUAUAGAAUAGUGAAUGUGUUGGAGAAUUUUGAAGGAUCCACAGUCAAAGAAUGCAUGAAGAUUUUGAAGAGGCUUUUGACUUAUGAGGAUCCAUUAUACUAUGUAGCAAUUAAUGCAUUUUGCAAGAAGAAAGAGUACAGAGAGGUGUGGAUGGAGAUGGAAAGUGACGAAGAGCGAAUGAGAUGGAUUCAAGCUUGCGAAAAUAACUUUUUAAAUAUUUGUUUUAGAUUUGUGGAAUGCCUAGGGUAUAUGACUUAUAUGAUGAUUUUAAUUUGGUACUUUUGGUUUGUUUGUUUUGGAUAUUUGAUACAUUUAAACUUAUGUUUUUAUUUCAUAACUAUUUUUUUUUUAUAAUAGAUAUUCUUAUGGAGAAUCCUUCACAUCACUCAAAUAGUUCAAGUUCAUCAUCAUCAAGUGAAGAUGAAGAUACAAAGUUAGAAGUGACAAGAGUUUAAAAAGAAGAUUGGUUGUGUUGUUGCUUAAAUUAUUGAGUGACUCAUCCAUUAAUAAGGAACGAGUCUCUACUUCAUCAUUUACAGGUUCACUUUUCAUUCAAGAGCUUUUAAAUGGUUCAUCUAGCACAUGUUAUGAACUAAUGCGGAUGGAAAAACAUGGAUUUAUUUCUCUAUGUCACAUGUUUCGAGAAAAAGGAUGGCUUGUUGACAGUAAACAUUUGAAUGUUGAAGAGAAAAUGACCAUGUUUCUUAUGACUAUUAGUCAUAAUCUUCGGAAUCGAUUGAUUAAGAAUAGAUUCCAACACUCAAGUCAAACAAUUCAUAAAUACUUCCAUGAGGUUUUAGUGGCCAUGGUGAAUUUCUCAAAAGAGAUGAUUACUCCUCCAUCAUUCAAUGAUAGUUCAAAUGGUAUCUCCAAUCGUCGGCUAAGACAAAUUUUUAAGGUACAUUAUUUUUUAUUUUUAAUUAUUCAUAUCAUAUUUGUAUUAUUCUCAUAUAAAAAUAAUUAUUUAUAUUUUAAAGAAUUAUUACCAUGUAGGAUGUUGUUGGUGCAAUUGAUGGAACUCUUAUCCAUGCAUGUAUUCCCACUAAUCAACAAGUACCUUAUCGAGGUCGUGGGAGAAGAGAGUGUUUUCAAAAUGUUAUGGCACUUUGUGAUUUUGACAUGAUAUUUAGGUUUGUUGUUGUUGGAUGGGAAGGAACAACUCAUGAUUCAAGAGUCUUGACAGAAACUAUUCGUAACCCGCAACAUAAUUUUCCAAUGCCCCCAUCAGGUAAAUAUUUUAUUUUCAUUUUAGUUAAUAUAAUUUGUAUUUAUUCAUUAUAAUAAUCAACUUAAUCCUUUUUUUUUUCAGAAAAAUAUUAUUUAGUAGAUGCAGCAUACACAUACAGUCGAGGUUUUAUGGCACCAUAUCGUAAUGUGCGCUAUUGGUUGAGUGAUUUUCGUAGUGGUGGUAAAGCUGUAGGAAAAGAGGAGAUAUUCAACCAAUGUCAUGCAAGAUUAAGAAAUGUCAUUGAACGUGCUUUUGGUGUUGUUAAGGCGCGUUUUCCAAUCUUGAAGAGAAUGGCACCUUAUUCGUUUACUACUCAAACAAAAAUUGUCAUGACAUGCUUCUCCAUUCACAAUUUUCUUCGACAAAUCUCAGUUGCGGAUAGAUUAUUUUCUGAAUAUGACAAUGAAGUGGAAUUGGAAAGUGACAAUGCCAAUCAAAAUCAAAACUCAACUACAAGCAGUUUUUUUGCAGCAUCUGAUCAAGAAUUCAUGCAACAAUUCCGAAACCAAAUCACAAAUGAACUCUUUCAAGUGUUUAGUUAACUUGUCAUUUUUAGCUUUUUACCAUUGUAAGAAAUGCAAUGUUUAGAUAUUAGCAUAAAAUGUGAUGUCUUCGGAUAUUUGAAAAUAUGUACUUGAAUUGUUAUGUUUUUUCUUUAAUUUGAUUUAGGUUUUUAUCAAUCCAUUGUUUUUCAUAUUAUUAAGUUUAAAUAUUUUAUUUUAAUUAUAUAAAAAAUAAAUAUAUUAAUUAUUUUUUGUAAGAAUGAUAAUGAUAAAUUAUUUAUUAUAAAAAAUUUAUUAUUUGGAACUUUUUAGAAAUAAGUUAAAUUAUGUUUUUUUUAAUACAUUAAAAUAUUAAGAUAUUGGUUUUCAGCAUAAAAAAAAAAAAAAAACUUAAUACUUAAUAGAAAUAAAAUUUUAAAAAAACAAACAACUUAAUGUUUAAUGCUAUUAAGCAUUAUUUAGUAUUAAGUUAAAAAAAAGUUCUAUUUAGAAUUAAGCCAAAAAAACAAAUGCCACCUAAGUGCCGGCCUUUUGAUUGGAUGUACAUGUACAUAUAUGAUAUAUAUAUAUAUUUAUAUCUAUAUAUAUACACAUGUAGGGUCAUCUACAAAAUAUGGACUUUGAACUGCAACUUCUUACAUAAAAUUACCUCCCAGCAGGUUUAGCAGAUUGUCAUUGUGUUUUAACUUUCUUCCUUAAAACAAUCUUUUGCAUCUUAUAUGAAUGUAGAUCUGUACAUCAUGAUAUAAAAUAACCUCUGUUUGUAAGCCAGUAAGUGACUGCAUUCUGUUUUGGUCUUCUCCUCUAUGAAAAGUGAACAAUGUUCGGAAAAAAUUAAGGUUAUAUUUUGUUUUAGUAGAAAAAAAAAAUAUUAAGAAAAAUAGUUUUUCUAUGUCCGAUUUAUAUAAAAUAAAAUUAAAUAUAAUUAAAAUAAAUUUAAAAUUUAUAUAUUUUUAAAUUAUUUAAUUUUACUAUUCAAAGAAAAUGUAUGAACUAAUUUAUUAAAUUAAAUUUUUUUUUCUUUUUUUCUAUUUUCUUUUUUUCAUAUUUUCUCUCAAAUUUUUUGAUAAUCAACUAUAGCUUAAAAAUAUUGAGUUUUUUUUUUCUUUGAAUGAAAUAUUAAAGCAAGAUGUUAUGAUAGUAUAAUAUUCAUUCAAGAUUUUUUUUAGAUGGUUUAUUAAAAAUGAAUCACUUUUUAAGGAUUAUUAAAAUAAUAUGUUUUUAAAAAUCAUUUCCAUUUUUCAAACUAACUUCGCCAAUACUCCAACUCAACAAAACGACAUCGUCUUGCUGGGACAUGGAAAACGACGUCGCUGCAUGCCGGAACUCAAAAUGGAUUGUGUUCUACUCGUUGCCAAACACCCUGGAAAUCAGACAUAAGUAUUCCGAUACCAUCUUGUCCAACCUCAAAUCAUUUCGCUGAAAACAUCGUCCCUCCGAACACGCACAAACUCUGAUACUGCGAAUAAGAAAGUUGAAAAUGGUGAAGGGCGGCCGAAUGAACACGGCUGACGUGGCCGCGGAGAUCAAGUGCUUGCGACGAUUAAUCGGCAUGCGUUGUGCCAACGUCUACGAUCUCUCUCCCAAAGUACUUCUCAAUCCACUCUGCCAAACCCUAAUUUAAUUGCAAUCCUCUGUUUGUUAUUUUCCUUCUAAACAAACAUUUAAUUUUUACCUCUUCAUUAUUUUUCUUGUUUUUGGGAUAAUUGUGUGUUUGCUUGUUCAUUUACAUUGCUGAUCACCACCUGUUUGAUGAAUAAUCUGAGUUGAACGGGCCUUUGUAAUGGUUUUUGUGAAUUAAUUGAGUUGGAUUGUUGUGUUGAUUUCGCUAUUUACAAUUUUUAUUUUUAUUUUUGCCAGACUUAUAUGUUUAAGUUUAUGAACAGUAGUGGCGUCACUGAAUCCGGAGGGAGCGAGAAGGUUUUGUUGUUAAUGAAAAGUGGUGUUAGAUUGCAUACCACUGCAUAUGUUCGGUAAGAUUUUCCCCAAUUCGAAAAAAUAAAAGUUAGGCCUAAUCUUGCCCAACCUUUCCUUCAGUUUUGUUGCCUGGAAAACCUUGGAAAAUAAAAUGAAAUAAAUUUGAAUUCAAGUUUUCUGUUUUAUGCUUCGAGAGGGUUUUAUAAGGUAUACUUCACUGAGGUUUUAUGUUAACUUGGGACCCAAGUAAUGAAAAACUUUUAAAGUUGACAAUGUUUUCUAGCCUUUGUUCAGCAACCAAACAGAGCAAAAGGAUAGGAAAAGAGUAGAAUGGCACUGUUUUUAAUACCACAAGUUUUUGCUUACUGUUCAUAUUUUCUCACAUCUAUGGGGACAAAAGUAUGACUCCAUCUGGGUUUACACUUAAAUUAAGAAAGCACAUAUGCACAAGAAGGCUAGAGGAUGUGCGGCAGCUGGGAUAUGAUCGGGUAUUACUCCAGGGGAUGUUUGUUUAUGCUUGUCAUUUUCUCUAACUUAUGUAGUGUAUAUUGACUGUGUUGUUUCUGAUCAUGAUUUUUUUUGUUUAACUAUUUUUUUCUCUUUUUCAGGUCAUCCUUUUUCAAUUUGGACUUGGUGCCAAUGCACACUAUGUUAUAUUGGAGCUGUGUGCCCAAGGAAACAUUCUCCUUACAGAUUCUGAGUUUAUGGUCAUGACUCUUCUUGGAUCACACAGGUUAGCAGUCCAUCUCUCAUGUUGCAUUUUUUUUUGCUCCUUUAUGCACAUAUUUGUAUACAAGCACAACUAUUUUUUUUUAGCAAGAACUUUUGUCCUUCUCUGCCAAUUCAUGUGUAUUAGCUGUUGAGUUUAGCACAUACAUCAUGGUAUGAUGAAAUUAUUGAUGUUCAUGCUAUGAUCUUAUUGGUAUCACUGGUGAAAGAGUGAAACCCUCGAUAAAUUUCAUUUAGAAGAAUUAAACAAAACAUCAAAUAAAAAAGGGUUAUAUAUACUGUAUCCCCUUGACCUUGAGGCAUUUCGUACUUUGCCUCCUCACAUUCAAAUACCAAAACUUGUCCUCAAAUUUGCUAAACAGUUUGGACCAUGUUUAUUUUAUCUAAUUAAAAAACCCAAAUGCACUGCAAUUAAGUGACUAUUAUACUCUUACAUUUCGAGUCUUAAUCCCUUUUAGUGAUUAUACAUCAAAUUUUGGGUCAAGUGCGGUACAUGGGAGUUUUUUGUUAAUGAAAUAAACAUAUCCAAGAAAACAUUUGGGGCGGCAAUUGUUGGAUUUUGAACGGGAGAGAGUAAACUGUGAAAGCCCUAAAGCUGUAGCAGAAAAAGUGCAUUAAGCGAAUAAAAAAACCAUUUAGAAGAACCACUUUUGAAGGAAAAUUAGAGGCUGAGUGCUCUGGAAAAAUAGGGGGAGAAUAAUUGCUCAAAAUCCCUCUCUCUCUAUGUGUGCGUAGUUUAAACAAGAAAGUAAAGGAGAGCAAGGAGCAGCUUGUGUCUAAAAUCUCAUCUGUUUGAACAGGAGGAAAGAGCUUAUGAGGUGGCCAAUUUUCUUUGGCUUGCCCAAGGCAGAUCGCCUUUUAGCAUCCUUGUGCAUGUAAAUAUCCGUAGUCUUAACACCCUAUUCCCAUAUUCAACUUCUUUAACUAGCUACCAUCAAUCACAUGUAUGCAAUGGGUAUAGGAUGUGUUGAUGGAUUGGGGUUGCACAAAACCUCAAUCCAAGCCCAACUUGAACUUUUCUAAUAUGAGUCAAAGCGUAGAUGCAAAGGAAGUUGCCCAAGAACAACCACUGCUUGAAUUGGCUUGUGUUUAACCCUUCCAAGUUGAGACCAUGUUUGCUAGCUCCUAAUGGCCUUGAAGAUUUCCUUCCUUAACAGGGUAAGUUUUUUGCUUAAAUGUCUAUAGAAUUGAAUUUUAGCUACAUGAUAACAAGUUAUUUACAACAGAGAUGAUGAUAAAGGAGUUGCAAUCAUAUCACGCCAUUGGUAUCCAGUUGAAAUUUGUCGAGUUUUUGAGUGUACUACCACUACUAAGUUGCAAGCAGCCCUUACAUCUCCCAAGGAAUCUGAGAGCAAUGAAGCAGUCGAGGCCAGUUGAGGGUGGAAAUAAAGUGUCUGAUGCACCUAGAGAGAAGCAGGGUAACCGCAAAGGUGCGAAGUCAUCUGAGCCAAGCAAAAAUACUAAUGAUGGUGCUCGUGCCAAGCAAGCGACCUUGAAGACUGUUCUUGGAGAGGCACUGGGUUAUGGGCCUGCACUUUCUGAGCAUAUUAUUUUGGAUGCUGGUCUGAUUCCAAACACAAAAGUUACUAAGGAUAGCAAAUUUGACUUUGAUACAAUUCAGCGUUUAGCCCAAUCUGUUGCUAAGUUUGAGAAUUGGCUAGAAGAUGUUAUCUUAGGUGAUCAAGUUCCUGAAGGUUAUAUUUUAAUGCAGAAUAAAAUUUUUGGAAAGGACUGCCGCCCAUCUCAACCAGAUCGUGGUAGCCAGGUUGUGGAUGUGUUUUUUUUAAAUUUAUGUAUGCUAAUCUAGAGCAGAACUGUCAUUUCCUUCCCUUUUUGCUUUGAUAUGAUAUAAUCAAGUUCCACAUAUGUGUGAAUGUAAACAUGUUUGUUUGGUUUACCAUUAGAAUAGUGUUAUUCAUUAUGUGUUUUAAUACCCUUUGCAGAUCUAUGAUGAAUUCUGCCCAAUUUUAUUGAACCAGUUCAAAUCAAGGGAGUUUGUAAAAUUUGAGACUUUUGAUGCUGCAUCGGAUGAGUUCUACAGUAAAAUUGAGGGUCAACGAUCAGAACAACAACAGAAGGCAAAAGAGGUCUCUGCCAUGCAGAAACUCAGUAAAAUAUGCAUGGAUCAGGUCUUUAAAUUAUUGUCUGAUAUUUGAAGCCAAUAGAAUCAUUUCCUUCUUUUAAGAAGAGUGGUUUCACAUACUUUCUAGCCUUUCAGCUAGUUGCUUGCUUGCAACUAUGUUAUAGUGACUUGGGCUGCAAGCAAUGAGAAUCUAGCCAAUGCAUCAGUGGUUGUAUGGGCAUGCUAUGGUCAUUCUCUCUUUACAUGUCAAAAGGUUCUCUGCUAGAAAUAUUAUUCAGUAUUUUAUGAUCAUUGCCAUGUGUUAUAGUCUUUCAACUUGAUGCUGUAGGAAAAUCGUGUGCAUACACUGAAGAAAGAGGAUGACCGCUGCAUUAAAAUGGCAGAAUUGAUAGAAUAUAACCUAGAAGAUGUUGAUGCUGCCAUAUUAGCUGUCCGUGUUGCUUUGGCAAAUGGUAUGAAUUGGGAGGAUCUUGCCCGAAUGGUGAAAGAAAAGAAAAAAUCUGGAAAUCCUGUAGCUGGCCUCAUUGACAAGCUUUAUCUUGAGAGAAAUUGCAUGACACUGCUGUUGAGUAACAACCUUGAUGAAAUGGAUGAUGAUGAAAAGACACUUCAUGUGGAUAAGGUGUGGUGGCAUGAUGCAAUUUUUUUUUUUUUUUUGCAUCUUACUGCGUCAUAAUAACAAAACUGCUUAUGUUUACUUCCAUUUGAAGGCAUUCAUGCAGAUUCUAAAUUACCAUUAAGCUUAUCUUGUUGGAUGUGACAUAUGCUAAUUUCCACUCUGGUUCACACCUGUCUGAUCAAACAAAUUACAGAUCAUGUAAAGCCCAUAUCUUUAUUCUUCAAACUUGUCAUCUCUUUUCUUUUCACUUUCUAGGUAGAAGUUGAUUUGGCACUUUCAGCACACGCCAAUGCUCGGCAGUGGUAUGAACAGAAGAAAAGGCAGGAAAACAAGCGGGAAAAGACUAUUAUAGCUCAUGAAAAGCUUUUAAAGCUGCUGAAAAGAAGACUUGCAUCCAGCUUUCACAGGUAGCUGAACAUUGCAGUUGUUUUUCCCCUUUGAUUUAUUUUGUACUGAUGCUAUUUUCAAAUUUUUGAAUCAUUAAAUGCAGCUGGUCCUGAGUUAUUGGCCCUUGGUAUUAUGUUACAUGUGUGCUGUGAGGAGAGUUAGUACUUAACCAUAUCUUUGCUGAACAUUCACAGGAAUGGAUGAUUAGGACCUAAGUUGAAUGUUUAUUAGCAUCUAGUUUGAUUUAAAUGAUUUGAACAACAUGGUACCCUUUGUAUACUUCCUGUGUACCUUGUUGCGUUCUUUCUUUGGCACGUGUUUAUAAUAUCUCACCAUUACUUAUAAAAAAACUAACAACACACUUGCCUCUCAGCACCAGAAGAAUUAUGAAGCAUUAUUUUAGUUUUGUUUUUAAUUAUUGGUUGAGCUUAAAUGAACCAUUAAGUUGUCUUUUCUCAAUGGUCAAGUGUCUGAAUUUUCUCAUCUAUAAUUGUGCUGGAAAAAACCGUUGCCACAAUUUCACACAUGUGAAAAGUUAACUGGUUUGAGAAAUUUAAUUGGUUCAUCAGCAGUAAGAAUUAUUUUGUUAUCAGUGGACGUGAUGCUCAACUGAACGAGAUGAUUGUCAAGCGUUAUAUGUCAAAAGGGGACCUAUAAGUAGAUUUUCUCCAUUAAUAAACAAAUUAACUCUUAAGAAGAGAAAAAGGGCAAAAACCUUUAUCUGUAUGGGGAAUAUAUCAAGGGGAAAAAAAGAGACGAAAAGGAAAGUGGCACUGGAAGUUAAGAGAGUUAAGGAGGAAAAAAAUGAGGCCCAAUUCCACCCAUUACUAUGCCACAAAAAAAGAAGUUUCAGAUUCAUACAUUUCAAAUCAACCAACAACAACUCCUCAUCAACAUUUUUGUUUUUCCAAAGGCACCUAAACACCUGUUGCAGAAUACUACUCCACUACUCUUCCUCAUAACUCCUAUGACAUGUUAAUCCAACAUUGACUCUCUAUAAGUAGAUAUUAUUUUAUAAAAUCUCUUUCAAAUGUUUCUGACAGAAGGAUCCUUUAAUGAUUUACACAAAAGUUUAACAUGUCUUAGGCCAAAUAUUCAACCAAUAAAAAGAUUUAUUGUGCAUAUUCAUUAAAUAUUGGUAAGUGAUAGUCUGUUAUUUGGUUUUGUUUUUUGUGUCUGUUGUUGUAGUACUUAUUUUAUUUUAGUUUGGUAUUUUAUUUUAUUUUUUAUUUUUUAUUGGACACUUUCUUUAGAUGAGAAGACUCAGAAGAGUUGUGUAAAGACUUCGAAUUUCCAACUUAUUGUAAUACAGUCAUCAGCAUUUUGGUGAAAGUAUUUCUGAAGCUUAUAGGCUUUAGUUAUCUUUCUAAUGCCAGGUAAUUUCUUCUUCAUCUAUUUACUUUGUGGAAACCACCUCAGUCACACUUAUGUAUCUUAUUCCCAUACCUCUGCAAUUUGAGAUUUAAUAGACCUGUUUCUCCUAUUAACAUCAGGGGAGGCCUUUUCUGCUUUAUGAAUUAAUCUUCAAAAAUGUUGAUUGUAAGUUGUACUUUCUUGUCUCUUUUCAUGUCAAUCAUGUACAUUGGUAGAUGUUAUAGUUGAAGAAUAGGGUUUCACGAGAAUAAUUUUCUUUCAUUGAGAUUAUUCUUUUAUAGAGUUUACAACAUAUACAAAUCCUUCAAAUUAGGAAACUAAAUCACUGAUUAAAAGGAAAGAAUAACUCCUAACAAUUACUUUCCUAAAAAUACAAAGAUUGACAACUAAUAAAUAACUUACAACUUUACAAAAUUAUUUCUUUCCAUAUCAGUUUCGGUUUUCCAACACUCCUCCUCAAGCUGGCUUAAAGAUAUCUUCCAUAGCCAGCUUGCCAACUAGAAAAUCAAAUUGCCUUUUUUGUAGUCCUUUGGUGAAGACAUCAAUCACUUGUUCCUCAGUAGGGAUAUAGGUCAUACAAACCAAUCCGUUGUCUAUCUUCUCUUUAAUGAAAUGCUUGUCCACUUCCACAUGUUUGGUGCGGUCAUGGAGAACCGGAUUGUGAGCUACUAAAAUUGUUGCCUUGUUGUCACAAUACAACUUCAUAGGAGAUGGACCUGUCAUCUUUAACUCUUCCAGUAAUCUUCUUAUCCACAUAAUCUCACAAAUACCAUGAGCUACAACUCUAAACUCAGCCUCAGCACUACUUUUAGCAACCAUGUUUUGUUUUUUACUUCGCCACGUGACCAAGUUGUCAUCUACAAAUGAACAGUACCCAGAGGUGGACCUUCGAUCCACUAUGCUUCCAGCCCAGUCUGCAUCGGUGUAGGUUUCAAUUUGUAGGUGUCCUUGUGACUUGAACAAAAGACCUCUACAUGGUGUCCUCUUUAGAUACCUUAGAAUCUUGUAAACAACUUCAAAAUGCUCUGGUCUAGGCGCAUGCAUAAACUAGCUAACCAUACUCACUGAGAAUGCUAUGUCAGGGCGUGUAUGGGAUAGGUAAAUCAAUCUCCCAACAAGUCUCUGAUAACGAUUCUGGUCCUUCACAUUCUUGGUUUUUGUAGGCUGCAGUUUUACAUUCGGCUCUAUAGGUGUUUCAGCAGGCUUACAUCCUAACAUACUUGUCUCAUCAAGAAGAUCAAGAACAUACUUCCGUUGAUUUACAAAGAUACCUUCUUUGGACCUAGCAAACUCCAUCCCAAGAAAGUAUUUUAAUGCCCCCAGGUCCUUAAUCUCAAAUUCCUCAGCAAGUUUCCCCUUCAGCUUCUCUAGUUCAUUGCAAUCAUCCCCAGUUAACACAAUAUCGUCAACAUACACAAUUAAGAUGACUACUUUACCUUCAUUUAAAUGUUUGUAGAAUAUCGUGAUCUGGUUGACUUUGAGUAUAUCCAUAAUGCUUUAUUACUUUGCCAAAGCACUCAAACCAAGCUCUAGGCGACUGCUUAAGUCCGUAUAAAGACUUCUUCAAUUUGCACACUUUCCCAACUCCAAAACUUUCUUCAAAACCUGGUGGAGGACUCAUGAACGCUUCCUCCUCUAGGUCUCCAUUAAGAAAGACAUUUUUAACAUCCAAUUGGUGUAAGGGCCAAUUGGAAUUUACUGCAAGGGACAACAAAACUCUAAUUGAGUUUAUUUUAGCUACGGGGGCGAAAGUCUCUUGGUAGUCUAUCCCAUAGGUUUGAGUAAAACCAUUUGCCACAAGUCUGGCUUUGUAUCUCUCAACACUUUUAUCUGCUUUACUCUUUAUUGUAAACACCCAUUUGCGCCCUACAACUUCUUUUUCCCUUUGUAAAUCUACAACCUCCCAAGUGCCAUUCUUUUUUAAGGCACUCGUUUCCUCAAACAUUGCCAAUUUGCAACUCGGUUCAUCUAGUGCUACUUGAAUAUUUUUAGGUACCACAAGUUUUGAAAUAUUUGUAGUGAAUACUCUAUAGUUGUCAGAAAGGUUACUAUAGGAGAUAUAUUUGGCAAUGGGAUGUUUAGUGCAAGCUCGGGUUCCCUUUCUAAGAGCAAUAGGGAGAUCAAUGUCAAGGUCCUGUGCAGGAACAAUUGGGGCUAAUCCUAAACCGGGUUUGGGUGCAAAUAUUUCUGGACUUGGACCAAAGUGUGAUGGUAAACUUAGAUCAGUAACAGAAGAAGAAGAAGCAUGUAUAUGAGUAGGAAUAGAAGAAGGGUUACCUGAGACAUUUAGAGAGCCAUUGCCUAGGGCUUUCGGUUGACCAUGUGCUGGGAUGAUCGGCUGGUCUUUACUUCUUCCAGGGACUUUUUUCCUUGAAUAAACCACAGGCUCAAGAUUGUUUCUAUUUUUUUCAUUCGUAGUAUUUCUUCUUCUGACAGACCAAUUUCAGAUUCGGAUUCAAUUGGCUUAGUUUCUUUAUUUUCUUUUUCAAGAGAGAUAUCAAGAAUUACACUAGGCAAAGGUUCAACAAUUUCCCAAAAAUUUGGUUCCACUAAUUUCUCCCCUUGAAGUAAAUUUUUGGUAAAAUAUGAGACAUUUUCCAUAAAGGAAACAUCCAUAGUUGUGUAAAAACGUUUUGUAAGGGGAUUAAAACAUUUGUAACCCUUUUUAUUAGGAGUAUAUCCUACAAAAACGCAUUUUUCUGCUCUUUGGUCUAACUUAGAUCUUGACCUUUUUGGAAUGUGUAUAUAUGCAGUGCAACCAAAUAUUUUCAAGGGUAAUUCAGAAUUAAUUUGAGAUUCUGGAAAUACCUUUUUCAAGCACUCCAAAGGAGUGGUAUACUGCAAAAAUUUUGUAGGCAGCCUGUUGAUUAGAUAUGAAGCAAUUAGUAUGACAUCCCCUCAUAAGUAUUUUGGAAUAUUCAUGUAAAACAUCAUAGCCCGUGCUACUUCUAACAAGUGUUUAUUUUUACGUUCAGCUAUUCCAUUCUGUUCAGGGGUAUCAGAACACGAGGAUUGAUGUAAAAUUCCUUUCUCAUUUGAAAAGGUUUCCAAAACUUUAUUAAAGUACUCAGUCCCAUUAUCAGAUGUCAAAAUACUGAUUUUUGUUUGAAAUUGGUUUUCAAUUAUUCUGUAAAAUUCUUUAAAAAUCCUUUCGACUUCAGAUUUUUCCCUCAUUAAAUAUACCCAACAAAGACGUGUAUGGUCGUCUAUAAAGGUCACAAACCAUUUUUUUCCUGAAAUUGUGGUUACUUUUGAAGGUCCCCAAACAUCACUGUGAAAAAGAUAAAAUGGUUUUGAUGUAUAGUAGGGUUUUGGAAUGUAAGUUUUUUGUUGGCUCUUUGCCAAUAAACAACUUUCACAUUGAAAUGAUAAAGGAUCAACCUUUUGAAAUAACACUGGAAAUAAAUGUUUUAAAUAAGAGAAACUAGGAUGACCUAAUUUGCAAUGCCAAACCAUUAUUUGAUCACGAACAGAAAGAGAACUAAUACUACUUGGUUCUUGAGCAAUUUUAUUACUAGGUAAAUUAUCCUCGAAAUAAUAGAGACCAUUGAUUAUCCUAGCACUGCCAAUCGUCUUCCCUGAGCUCUGGUCUUGAAAAAUACAAUGGGAUUCAUAGAAGAUAACACAACAAUUAGAAUCUCUAGAUAAUUUGCUAAUAGACAAGAGAUUACAAGUAAGUUUAGGAACAUGGAGAACAUAUUUAAGAUCUAUUCCCUCAGAGGUUUUUAUUAGACCUUUUCCUGCAAUAGGUGAGAAAUUACCAUCAGCUAUCCGAACCUUUUUAUUUCCAGGACACGGUGAAUAGGAUUCAAACAUGUUUGAGGAAUUGGUCAUGUGGUCGGAUGCUCCAGAAUCGAUUAUCCAUGGAGUAGAUUUAAAACGACAAGAUAGAGCAUAUAAUUCAUUACCUGUGUGUGCCAAAGAAACACUAGAAGUACCGGAUGUCAAGUUGGAUUUCAGCAGUGCAAGAAGAUGCUCCAUUUGCUCAGUAGUGAAGGGGCUGGUCUCAGCCUCAUUAGCAGUAGGAAUAAUGGCUCGGCUUGGUUUUGUUUCCUUUCAAAUUUGCAGGUUUCCCAUGGAUUUUCCAACAAUUCUCACGAGUAUGGCGAGGUUUGUUGCAAAAAUCACACCAAACCCGUGGUCUUUCAUCUGAUUUGUGCUGAAACACAGCAGCUUUAUUAUAGCCUCCACUCGUGGUAACCAAGGUUGAACCUUCAAUAGCAACUCCAGGUCCCUUCUUGCCCAACAUCACAUUCCUUCGACUCUCCUCUUCUAACUUUUGAAAAAACUUCACCAAUUGAAGGCAGGGGUUGUCUUCCAAUGAUUCUCCCCCUUACCUCAUCAAACUCAACAUUAAGGCCAGCCAAGAACUUGAAGAUCUGAUUGUCUUCCAUGGUCUUCUUAUGAUGAAGUCCAUCCUCGGUAGAUUUCCACUCAUAGGUGUUGAAGAGGUCAAGGUCUUGCCAGAUCCGCUUCGAGGAGUUGAAGUACUUUGUGAUGUUGUCCUCCCCUUGUUGUAUCUUACCAAGUUUGAGGGUUAAUUCAAAGAUCUGUGAUUGAUUCCCUAAAUUAGAAUACAUUUGAUUUACAUUCUCCCAAAGCUCUUGUGCUAUUGGAUAGCACAUGUAAUUAGAGCUAAUGUCUUCUUCCAUAGAAUUCACAAGCCAUGACAUCACCAUGGAAUUCUCAGCAUCCCAUAUAGCAUAGUUCGGAUCAUCCACUGCAGGAGCCUUCUUUUCACGCGUUAGGUAGCCCAUCUUUCCACGUCCUCUGAUGUACAUCCGAACUGAUUGAGACCAUCUCAGAAAGUUGUCACCAUUCAAGCGAAUCGUGGUGAUUUGGAUAGAGUGAGAUUUCGAGGUGGUAGGAUUGAUUUUUGAAGAAUCAGUGAUGAUGGGAUUGUUCAGAGAAGGUUGAGGAACAGUAGUGGACUCGUUUGAAAUAUCCGACAUGGUUUCAAAGAACAGGGAUUGAAAGAGAGGAAGGAGGAGGAUUUCGGCAAGCAAAUUGCGAGCUUUGAUACCAAGUUGAAGAAUAGGGUUUCACGGGAAUAAUUUUCUUUCAUUGAGAUUAUUCUUUUAUAGAGUUUACAGCAUAUACAAAUCCUUCAAAUUAGGAAACUAAAUCACUGAUUAAAAGGAAAGAAUAACUCCUAACAAUUACUUUCCUAAAAAUACAAAGAUUGACAACUAAUAAAUAACUUACACCUUUACAAAGUUAUUUCUUUCCAUAUCAGCUUCGGUUUUCCAACAGUUAUUAAUUCUUUGAGUUAUGAAAUGGGAUUUAGGAAUUUAGGAUUAAAGGGAAAUAUGAUUUCUAUGAAAUGUGUCUUAUCUAAUUCAUAGACCUCCAUGAUUUCAGCUUUUAUCAGCUUGCUGUUAUCCCUCAGCUGAUUAUUGUUAUUAUGGAAUAUAAAUUGAUCCAAUAAUGUGGAGUCUUAAUAUCCCUCUUUUUAAAAAAAAAAAAAAAAAUCUGAAAUCUUAAUGUCCCUGUUGUUUCUUCUGAUAUUGCUCAUUUGAUUAUGAAUUAGGUAUAUCCAUGCAGAUCCACAUGGAGCUUCAAGUACUGUGAUCAAGAACCACAAGCCUGAACAUCCAGUACCCCCUCUUACUUUGAACCAAGCAGGAUGUUUCACUGUAAGUUGGUCAUCUUUCAAUAUUCUUUUGGUAUUAUUUCAUUUUAUUGUGUCUUAAGGUAGGAGUGAACAGCAUAUAUGCACUUUGAAUUAUUUAGCUUACAAUUUUUUUGUAAAAUAGGUUUGUCACAGCCAGGUGUGGGAUUCAAAGAUUGUCACAAGUGCUUGGUGGGUUUAUCCUCACCAGGUCAGUAAAACUGCUCCUACUGGGGAAUAUCUUACAGUUGGGAGUUUCAUGAUCCAUGGGAAGAAGAACUUUCUUCCUCCACACCCUCUUAUGAUGGGCUUUGGCUUGUUAUUUUGCUUAGAUGAGAGAGCUCCUUGGGAUCACAUUUAUAUGAAAGGCGGGUGAGAGGUGAGGAGGAAGGGGCACAAGAUUUUGAGGAGAAUGAAUCUCUUAAAGGAAAUUCUGAUUCUGAGUCAGAGAAGGAAGAAACAGAUGAAAAACGUACUGCAGAGUCAAAAAGCAUAACGGAUCCACCAACACAUCAACCAAUAUUAGAAGGCUUUUCUGAAAUUAGUUCUGCUCAUAAUGAAUUGACCACCUCCAAUGUUGGAUCCAUCAAUUUGCCUGAAGUUCCUCUUGAAGAGAGGAAUAUGUUGAAUGGAAAUGAUAGUGAGCAUAUAGAUGAUAUUUCUGGAAGACAUGUUUCUUCUGUCAAUCCACAACUUGAGGAUCUCAUUGAUUGGGC
This 32902-nucleotide long non-coding RNA is filed under the name Vitis vinifera (wine grape). Its description in RNAcentral is "long non-coding RNA (VVIN_LNC001282)". The record is from RNAcentral. Lineage: Eukaryota; Viridiplantae; Streptophyta; Magnoliopsida; Vitales; Vitaceae.